UACGGAGGGUGCAAGCGUUAUCCGGAUUCACUGGGUUUAAAGGGUGCGUAGGUGGGCUAGUAAGUCCGUGGUGAAAUCUCCGAGCUUAACUCGGAAACUGCCGUGGAUACUAUUAGUCUUGAAUACUGUGGAGGUAAGCGGAAUAUGUCAUGUAGCGGUGAAAUGCUUAGAUAUGACAUAGAACACCGAUAGCGAAGGCAGCUUGCUACACAGUCAUUGACACUGAGGCACGAAAGCGUGGGGAGCAAACAGG
Molecule: ribosomal RNA, 253 nt
Filed under: uncultured bacterium
Lineage: Bacteria
Description: partial 16S ribosomal RNA
Rfam family: Bacterial small subunit ribosomal RNA
Source: RNAcentral